Molecule: ribosomal RNA, 497 nt
Filed under: uncultured bacterium
Lineage: Bacteria
Description: partial 16S ribosomal RNA
Rfam family: Bacterial small subunit ribosomal RNA
Source: RNAcentral
GAUGAACGCUGGCGGCGUGCCUAAUACAUGCAAGUCGAGCGAACAGACGAGGAUCUUUCCUCUCUUACGUUAGCGGCGGGCGGGUGAGUCAUACGUGGAUAACCUACCUAUAAGACUGGCGUAACUUCGGGAAACCGGAUCUAAUACCGGAUAAUAUAUUGAACGGCAUGGUUCAUCAGUCAUAGACGGUUUUGCUGAGCCUUAUUGAUGUUACCUGGUCGGAUUAGUUAGUUGGUAAGGUAAAGGCCUUCCAAGGCGACGCUGCGUAGCUGGACUGAGAGGAUGAUCCGUCACACUGGAACUGAGACACGGUCCAGACUCCUACGGGAGGCAGCAGGGGGGAAUAUUGGACAAUGGGCGAAAGCCUGAUCCAGCCAUGCCGCGUGUGUGAAGAAGGUCUUCGGAUUGUAAAGCCCUUUUAGUUGGGAGGAAGGGAAGGAAGUUAAUACCUUGCUGUUUUGACGGUACCAACAGAAUAAGCACCGGCUAACUUCGUG